CCUACGGGAGGCAGCAGUGGGGAAUAUUGCGCAAUGGGCGAAAGCCUGACGCAGCGACGCCGCGUGAGGGAUGAAGGUCUUCGGAUCGUAAACCUCUGUCAGCAGGGAAGAACGGUCACUGUGCUAAUCAGCAGUGAAUUGACGGUACCUGCAAAGGAAGCACCGGCUAACUCCGUGCCAGCAGCCGCGGUAAUACGGAGGGUGCGAGCGUUAAUCGGAAUUACUGGGCGUAAAGCGCUCGUAGGCGGGAUGUCAAGUCAAGGGUGAAAUCCCCGCGCUCAACGUGGGAACUGCCUUUGAAACGGGCAAACUGGAGUGUGUGAGAGGAUAGUGGAAUGCCAGGUGUAGGAGUGAAAGCCGUAGAUAUCUGGAGGAACAUCAGUGGCGAAGGCGACUAUCUGGCACAUAACUGACGCUGAGGAGCGAAAGCGUGGGUAGCAAACAGGAUUAGAUACCCCAGUAGUC
This 465-nucleotide ribosomal RNA is filed under the name uncultured bacterium. RNAcentral's name for it is "partial 16S ribosomal RNA". It matches the Rfam family "Bacterial small subunit ribosomal RNA", at positions 338 to 795 of the family's 1533-position model. The record is from RNAcentral.